GGGGUUGUAUCUCAGUGGUAGAGCACUUGCCUAGCAUGUGUGAGGCACUGGGUUCGAUUCUCAGCACCUCA
Molecule: transfer RNA, 71 nt
Filed under: Marmota marmota marmota (Alpine marmot)
Lineage: Eukaryota; Metazoa; Chordata; Mammalia; Rodentia; Sciuridae
Also listed under: 1 other name
Rfam family: tRNA
About the family: Transfer RNA (tRNA) molecules are approximately 80 nucleotides in length.
Source: Rfam by way of RNAcentral